RNAcentral lists this ribosomal RNA (253 nucleotides) under uncultured bacterium. RNAcentral describes it as "partial 16S ribosomal RNA". It matches the Rfam family "Bacterial small subunit ribosomal RNA", at positions 524 to 776 of the family's 1533-position model. The record is from RNAcentral.
UACAGAGGUCUCGAGCGUUAAUCGGAGUCACUGGGCUUAAAGGGUGCGUAGGCGGGCCCGCAAGUGCUUUGUGAAAUCCCACGGCUCAACCGUGGAAUUGCUCGGCAGACUGCGGGUCUUGAGGUCAGUAGGGGCUGCUGGAACUCUAGGUGGAGCGGUGAAAUGCGUAGAUAUCUAGAGGAACGCCAAAGGUGAAGACAGGCAGCUGGGCUGAUUCUGACGCUGAGGCACGAAAGCGUGGGUAGCAAACGGG